This 637-nucleotide long non-coding RNA is filed under the name Anser brachyrhynchus (Pink-footed goose). RNAcentral describes it as "lncRNA (ENSABRG00000004535.1)". Lineage: Eukaryota; Metazoa; Chordata; Aves; Anseriformes; Anatidae. The record is from RNAcentral.
GAGCUUUUUGCCCAGGUGUUUCCAGCAAGGCCCCAGGGGGGCCCCAGGGGCAACACCUGGGGGCACUGUGCAGGGAGGGCAUUUAUCGAGCAGCUCAGGCCUUCCUUAGCUUUUUGUGUGGCAGUUGCGGGGCUGUCUGCUGCCUGAUGUCCCACUUGGGCUCAAGCUUUUGGCUGUUUUUGUUUUGUGGUUACAUUUCCCCAUGGCUGUAGGGGCAGCCUGGCUUUUGGAUCUGCUCAGCUUUGCCUCCCUCGACCUCCCAGCUGCGUGGAUAAGAUUGCAGGGCACGGAAUAUUAUCCUCAAACAAGGGUCUCAUCUGGAGAGCUCCAGGCACGCUGGCGAUGGGCAGGAGACGCGAUCUUACCCGCUUCUGCAUUCCGGACAAGCGGCGCCAACGUUUCAAGUGAGAAGCUGGCAUGACUCCAGCAACCAAAAAACCAAACCCGUGAAACGCAGAAGUGCGGUGCCCAAGGUCUGCAAAGUGCUUUGUCCUUGUGCUUCACGGAAGGGGUCACCCCAGACAGAGCUCUCCUCCUGCCCCACCACAAGCUGAUGGAGCCACUGCUCCACGGAGCCCUCCAGCCAUAAUAUCAGACAGCUGGGACCUGCUACGGACCUCCAGGGUGUUGAUACAGG